AGUGAACGCUGGCGGUAGGCCUAACACAUGCAAGUCGAACGGCAGCACAGUAAGAGCUUGCUCUUACGGGUGGCGAGUGGCGGACGGGUGAGGAAUACAUCGGAUUCUACUUUUUCGUGGGGGAUAACGUAGGGAAACUUACGCUAAUACCGCAUACGACCUACGGGUGAAAGCAGGGGAUCUUCGGACCUUGCGCGAUUGAAUGAGCCGAUGUCGGAUUAGCUAGUUGGCGGGGUAAAGGCCCACCAAGGCGACGAUCCGUAGCUGGUCUGAGAGGAUGAUCAGCCACACUGGAACUGAGACACGGUCCAGACUCCUACGGGAGGCAGCAGUGGGGAAUAUUGGACAAUGGGCGAAAGCCUGAUCCAGCCAUACCGCGUGGGUGAAGAAGGCCUUCGGGUUGUAAAGCCCUGUUGUUGGGAAAGAAAAGCAGCAGGUUAAUACCCCGCUGUUCUGACGGUACCCAAAGAAUAAGCACCGGCUAACUUCGUG
This 492-nucleotide ribosomal RNA is filed under the name uncultured bacterium. Its description in RNAcentral is "partial 16S ribosomal RNA". It matches the Rfam family "Bacterial small subunit ribosomal RNA", at positions 29 to 507 of the family's 1533-position model. The record is from RNAcentral.